This 449-nucleotide ribosomal RNA is filed under the name uncultured bacterium. Its description in RNAcentral is "partial 16S ribosomal RNA". It matches the Rfam family "Bacterial small subunit ribosomal RNA", at positions 29 to 523 of the family's 1533-position model. The record is from RNAcentral.
AACGAACGCUGGCGGCAGGCUUAACACAUGCAAGUCGAACGCAUCCUUCGGGGUGAGUGGCAGACGGGUGAGUAACGCGUGGGAACGUGCCCUUCAGUUCGGGAUAACCCAGGGAAACUUGGGCUAAUACCGGAUACGUGCGAGAGCAGAAAGAUUUAUCGCUGAAGGAUCGGCCCGCGUCUGAUUAGCUAGUUUGUGGGGUAAUGGCCCACCAAGGCGACGAUCAGUAGCUGGUCUGAGAGGAUGAUCAGCCACCUUGGGACUUAGACACGGCCCAAACUCCGACGGGAGGCAGCAGUGGGGAAUAUUGGACAAUGGGCGCAAGCCUGAUCCAGCCAUGCCGCGUGAGUGAUGAAGGCCUUAGGGUUGUAAAGCUCUUUCGUCCGGGACGAUAAUGACGGUACCGGAAGAAGAAGCCCCGGCUAACUUCGUGCCAGCCGCCGCGGUAA